UUCUUUCUUUCUUUUUCCAGACAGGGGUUCUCUGUGUAGCCCUGACUGGCCUCGAGGUCCGCCUGCCUCUGCCUCCCGAGUGCUGGGAUUAAAGGCGUGCGCCACCACCUCCCGGCCUCCAUUUCUUGUUUACACUCGGUUUUAAGGCAGUUUUCGGUUCCCUCUGUCCCCGAGUCAACAGGAUAUGUCACAAGAGCUUUUAUCAAAGGCACCACCACCUCACAGACACACGACUAAGAAAUCACUCCAAUCUGUUAGACUAUUGCCCUGGAGAGAGGUAUUGGGGGAUGUAUUUGGGCACAGAAGUAACUGAAUUUCCUGAUGGACUGGAUAUGGAGGCAGGGAGAAGAUGAAGAGAGGGAUGAAUUCCAGGGACAAAGAGUUAAUUACUUUGGUUUAUAGUACCAGAGGGAUAGAGUUCAUGGUGGCAGGGAAGACAUGGCAGCGGACGUGGAAAGCUUGGUGGCAGGUACAGGAACCUGGCUCAUUAGACUGCAUCCACAUUCAGGAAGC
RNAcentral lists this long non-coding RNA (513 nucleotides) under Cricetulus griseus (Chinese hamster). Its description in RNAcentral is "lncRNA (ENSCGRG00015038460.1)". The record is from RNAcentral. Lineage: Eukaryota; Metazoa; Chordata; Mammalia; Rodentia; Cricetidae.